Molecule: long non-coding RNA, 518 nt
Filed under: Elaeis guineensis (African oil palm)
Lineage: Eukaryota; Viridiplantae; Streptophyta; Magnoliopsida; Arecales; Arecaceae
Description: long non-coding RNA (EGUI_LNC005727)
Source: RNAcentral
AAGCUAUGUGCUACUAAUACCACUAGAGAAAAGGGAUGGCGAAGACAAAAUGACAGCUAAUUUUCUUAACUUUAUUAAUAGUUGUCUUGAUAUCUAACGGAGUGACGGUUGCCAUUAGGUGUGAUUGCUUGCGCGUAGAUGUAAAAUCUUUGUGACUGCGUGAUUGUCAAGAUGUCUAUCUUGAGUAACGUUAGUGCAAUUGAAUGUCGGCAAAGACAUUCGGUUAAGUUGUCUCUCCCUUUCUCUAACUAGACUCGGCAUUAGAUAGAAGAUGGCUGGCACUAUGAAAAUCUGCAUGAAUAUGAUAGAACUUUGGGUAGUAGAAAUUAGAAAGGUCAACACUGAUUCAUCACUCCAAAUCAUUCUUGUUUCAUAAUACAAUUACAAAAAAAGGGUAGAGAAUAAGUUGAUCAUGCUGAGGUUUAUUCUAAGUUGAUUCUGAGCGGACAGGGAUUCAAGCAGGAUUUAACAUAGGACCACUUAUAUGGCAACUCAUUAGUAACAUGAGGCCGAAGGAA